AUGCUAAAGUCUGAGAACCACUGUUAUCUGAAUCCAAAGGCAUUUUGCAAGUUGCAGCAAAAUGGGGACCAGGGGAAGUCUGAGGGUGUGACGGUGGCUCAAAUUGCAAUUGUGGCCACCACUUCCACUCCCGGAAUAGUCCGGAACAGCAAGAAGAGGCCGGCCAGCCCUUCCCACAACAGCAGCAGCGGCGGGGGCUAUGGCUCCAGUAAGAAGAAAAAAGUGUGCGCCUCCAGCUUUGCGCAGGGUGUCAGCAUGGAAGCCGUAAGUGAGAAUGAAAUGGUGCCCUCUGAGUUUAGCACAGCACCUGUGGAAAAAGCUACCAAAUCUUUGCCAUUUAAGGAUCCCAACUUUGUGCACUCUGGCCACAGUGGUGCGGUAGCUGGCAAGAACAGAACCUGGAAGAACCUGAAACAAAUCCUGGCUUCCAAAAGGGCAUUGCGUAGCAACUGAACGAUCCUAACUGCUUCAGUAUUGAUGCUCCUCCAUCCUUUAAGCCAGCUAAGAAGUAUUCUGAUGUUUCAGGUCUUCUUGCCAACUACACAGACCCCCAGAGCAAACUGCGGUUCAGCACCAUCAAAGAGUUUUCCUAGUUCGGAGGCUGCCCUCUGACGUCGUCACUGGCUACCUGGCCCUGAGGAGGGCCACGAGCAUCAUUCCCGGAGCCCAAGAAGUGGAGGUGAAGUGCAAAGCUCUUUUAAAAACAGACCCUGGACUCGUGAUUUUGUUUCAUGGAAACAAACUCGUUCUGCUGUCAAUCUGAAAUGCCAGUGCUGUGCCUUGGAAAGAAUGUUUGGCUUUGAUUUAAGCGAUUUUUUGAGUGUGUGUUUUCCCUCCAAGUGUGAUAUUUCCUGCUGAACUAAAUUGUACUUCAGUUGUUGCCUCAAGUGAAGGUGUUUGACAAGAAAAUACAAUAAAACCAUACUUUUCAUUUAAAAAAAAAAA
This is an RNA transcript of Cebus imitator (Panamanian white-faced capuchin), 945 nucleotides long. It is a transcript of the gene named INO80 complex subunit C-like, with no coding region annotated. NCBI's taxonomy places the organism in Eukaryota, Metazoa, Chordata, Mammalia, Primates, Cebidae. The record is from RefSeq and is a predicted model, not a curated record. The transcript has 2 exons.